UAUUUAGACACAUUUUAGAUGCCUGUUGUUUGUUAUUUGUACAGGAAAGUACAAGAGCGCACCCCUUUAGAUCCCUAAAUUGUGUACCAUAUUGGAUUAAUCUUCAUGCAUGGCUAUGCAACAAGCCUGCAGCUUACAAGUAGAUUACAAUAAAAGGUCAUAGUACAGAUACAUGAGCCUAGUGAUAUGCAAUCCAGAAGUUUGAUUGAGUAAGCUGAAAAUUUUCUGCAUGGCAUUACAUCACUCUGGAAUUGUGCCAAACAUAUUUCUCCAGGUUGACCUAUGAAACUAGAUUGUAACAAGACAUUAUGUGGACCUGGACACAGUGGACUUUUGGCAGUCAGCCAGACAAGAAAGAAGUUGUUUCCUGCGCCAAUAAACGUUUUACUUGUUCAGCUUACUAAAGGAUGGAGAUGAGAGAGAACAUUUACUGUGCGCUGACUCAUUACAUUCUGACAUGGAACCUAACACGAAGGCAAAGUCCAGACACACUUUGGAUAUAAUUCUGCUUGGUUUUUGGCCUAAAGGUGAAGUGAUGUGUAAAUACGAAGAGCAACAGUAUACCGACAAAUUCCGGGAUCCAGACGGGAGAAUAGUGUACAUGGUGAAGUCUUCUACUGACAUUUGUCUGGGCGUUAGACACUGGGGGCGUUAUUUCCACUUCAUAGGAAGCAAACGGAAGAAGCAGAGUCAGUACAUCCAUCUUUAUCAUCAUCUUUAGAAAUGAUGGAGUGAAACAACAUACAACUUUAUGCAGAUGACUGACAGAGGAGUUCUCUGCCUACGCCAUUAUUGAUAUGAUCAUUCCAUCUAGUCAUAUAAUGAUUGAAUAAACAAAAUGACCAUGGGGGAGAUUUACCAAAACCUUGUCCAGAGGAAAAGUUGACGAGAUGCCCAUAACAACUAAUCAGAUUGUUUCUUUCAUUUUUCAGAGUUUUUUUUUUU
This is a long non-coding RNA of Hyla sarda, 945 nucleotides long. RefSeq lists it as uncharacterized. The transcript is spliced from 6 exons. The record is from RefSeq and is a predicted model, not a curated record. NCBI's taxonomy places the organism in Eukaryota, Metazoa, Chordata, Amphibia, Anura, Hylidae.